CUCACUUUCUGUAAGGCACUGUGCCUGUUUCUGCACCUAUGAACACAGCUGUCCUGCUGUGGUGUGUGCCCUCUCCUCUUAGAGUACAAACGUGCAUGUGCUUCAAAUGACUCCAACCACUUAAGAAGGUAGACCAAUAAAAGCUCUUUCA
Long non-coding RNA from Passer domesticus (house sparrow), 151 nucleotides. RefSeq lists it as uncharacterized. Lineage: Eukaryota; Metazoa; Chordata; Aves; Passeriformes; Passeridae. The record is from RefSeq and is a predicted model, not a curated record. The transcript has 3 exons.